CCUAGGAAUCUGCCUCGUAGUAGGAGACAACGUUUCGAAAGGAACGCUAAUACCGCAUACGUCCUACGGGAGAAAGUGGGGGAUCUUCGGACCUCACGCUAUGAGAUGAGCCUAGGUACGAUUAGCUAGUUGGUGGGGUAAAGGCUCACCAAGGCGACGAUCGUUAACUGGUCUGAGAGGAUGAUCAGUCACACUGGAACUGAGACACGGUCCAGACUCCUACGGGAGGCAGCAGUGGGGAAUAUUGGACAAUGGGGGAAACCCUGAUCCAGCCAUGCCGCGUGUGUGAAGAAGGCCUUCGGGUUGUAAAGCACUUUAAGCAGGGAGGAAGGUUUGCUGGAUAAUACCUGGCAAAAUUGACGUUACCUGCAGAAUAAGCACCGGCUAACUCUGUGCCAGCAGCCGCGGUAAUACAGAGGGUGCAAGCGUUAAUCGGAAUUACUGGGCGUAAAGCGCGCGUAGGCGGUUACGUAAGUUGGAGGUGAAAUCCCCGGGCUUAACCUGGGAACGGCCUCCAAAACUACGUGGCUAGAGUAUGGGAGAGGGAGGUGGAAUUCCGGGUGUAGCGGUGAAAUGCGUAGAUAUCCGGAGGAACAUCGAUGGCGAAGGCAGCCUCCUGGCCUAAUACUGACGCUGAGGUGCGAAAGCGUGGGGGAGCAACAGGAUUAGAUACCCUGGUAGUCCACGCCGUAAACGAUGUCGACUAGCCGUUGGGCUCCUUGAGGGCUUAGUGCGCAGCUAACGCGAUAAGUCGACCGCCUGGGGAGUACGGGCGCAAGGUUAAAACUCAAAUGAAUUGACGGGGGCCCGCACAAGCGGUGGAGCAUGUGGUUUAAUUCGAUGCAACGCGAAGAACCUUACCUGUCUUGACAUGUC
RNAcentral lists this ribosomal RNA (876 nucleotides) under uncultured bacterium. RNAcentral's name for it is "bacterial SSU rRNA". It matches the Rfam family "Bacterial small subunit ribosomal RNA", at positions 116 to 990 of the family's 1533-position model. The record is from RNAcentral.